This is a non-coding RNA of Paramuricea clavata, 560 nucleotides long. NCBI's taxonomy places the organism in Eukaryota, Metazoa, Cnidaria, Anthozoa, Malacalcyonacea, Plexauridae. The record is from the annotation of a GenBank genome assembly.
UGCAACACAGUGGAUUAAUCAAACUAUUUGCCCAUGCAACCUGUUAAACCUUUAACUGGCAAUGCGCCAAGAUGCGUCCUACUUUAUUUUUUUACUCUGUCUAAUACCAAAUGAUUUUACUCGUCACUGGGAGAGUGCUCCAACUCAGUGGGAUAAACCGACAUUCAUAGUAUCUUUACUGAUGCCAGAAAAACCCCGAAUGCGCAGUGACUUGCCGUCAUCAACUUCGACAAGAAGUUGUGGCACUUCAACUCGUUAUAAAAUAUCAACAUUUCACAUCAAAAUUGAGAUAUAGAACACGAUUCAACAUACCUUAAUCCCUGUCUUUAACUUUGGAUGCUGUGCUUCUUAUAUUCCACAUUAACUUCUGAUAUUGCACAUUUGCCCCUUGGCAUCCCUCAUAGUAUUGCACAUUUUGACCAAGAUAUCCGCCAAAAUAAUGCACAUUUGCCCAGGAUAUCCACCAUUAUUCUUCAACGAUGUGGUAAGGUGGGGGUAAUUUCACAUUUGGUGUUGAAAAAAGGUUUGGGGUCCGAUCCUGAGGGGUCCAUUGCGUGGAU